This 478-nucleotide ribosomal RNA is filed under the name uncultured eukaryote. RNAcentral's name for it is "SSU rRNA". It matches the Rfam family "Eukaryotic small subunit ribosomal RNA", at positions 15 to 519 of the family's 1831-position model. The record is from RNAcentral.
UGCGAGUAGUCAUAUGCUUGUCUCAAAGAUUAAGCCAUGCAUGUGUAAGUAUAAGUAUUAUACGGCGAAACUGCGAAUGGCUCAUUACAUCAGUUAUAAUUUAUUUGAUAAUCGAAAGUUACAUGGAUAACCGUGACAAAUUACAGCUAAUACAUGCAGUCAGACCUGGUCCAAGGGUCGUAAUUAUUAGUAUUAAACCAUUUCCUACGGGAGUGUGAUGAAUCAUAAUAAUUGAACGAAUCGCAGAGUUCUGCGAUAAAUCAUUCAAGUUUCUGCCCUAUCAGCUUUGGAUGGUAGUGUAUUGGACUACCAUGGCAGUCACGGGUAACGGAGAAUUAGGGUUCGAUUCCGGAGAGGGAGCCUGAGAAACGGCUACCACAUCUACGGAAGGCAGCAGGCGCGCAAAUUGCCCAAUCCCGACACGGGGAGGCAGUGACAAGAAAUAACAACUCUUGGAUUUCUAAGAAGUGUAAUGAGG